Molecule: ribosomal RNA, 253 nt
Filed under: uncultured bacterium
Lineage: Bacteria
Description: partial 16S ribosomal RNA
Rfam family: Bacterial small subunit ribosomal RNA
Source: RNAcentral
UACGAAGGGGGCUAGCGUUGUUCGGAAUGACUGGGCGUAAAGGGCGCGUAGGUGGUUUUUCAAGUUUUGUGUUAAAGACCUGGGCUUAACCUGGGGGGUGCAUGGAAGACUGAAAGACUUGAGGACGAGAGAGGAAAGUGGAAUUGCGCAUGGAGAGGUGAAAUUCGUAGAGAUGCGCAGGAACACCAGUGGCGAAGGCGACUUUCUGGUUCGUACCUGACACUGAGGCGCGAGAGCGUGGGGAGCAAACAGG